This 253-nucleotide ribosomal RNA is filed under the name uncultured bacterium. RNAcentral describes it as "partial 16S ribosomal RNA". It matches the Rfam family "Bacterial small subunit ribosomal RNA", at positions 524 to 776 of the family's 1533-position model. The record is from RNAcentral.
UACGAGUGCUUCGAGCGUUAUCCGGAAUCAUUGGGCGUAAAGGGUGCGUAGGUCGUUUCGUUAGUCCUGUGUUAAAUAUGCCGGCUCAACCGGUAUGCCGCAUGGGAAACGGCGGAACUAGAGGACGGUAGGGGUUACUGGAACUCAUGGUGUAGCGGUGAAAUGCGUUGAUAUCAUGGGGAACACCGAUGGCGAAGGCAGCCUCCUGGGCCAGCACUGACGCUCAUGCACGAAAGCGUGGGGAGCAAACAGG